CACCUGAAGAUUCAUGACCAGGAAUAGUCUCAUUUUUUGGUAAACAAAUUAAAAAAAAAAAGAUUCAUCUUCUUACAAAUAUUAAGUAGACUGCGAAGUAGUUACCCCAAAUAAGACCCAACCCUUCCGCAAACAUUGCAUGGUUUCUGAUGAACAUCCAAAUGGUAACUGGCUGUCUUGAUGGCCGUUUGGUACCUUUAUCCUCAGCGGCCGCGCUGGGCGCGAGCAGCGGGAGUGGGGACCUUUGGGGGCCAAGUGUCCACCACCCACCGGCCUCGUCCCAGUGACUUCUCCGUCUCCUCUCGCGCCCAGCCCCGGGGCCUGGGCGGCAGCGUUCGCCAAAGCUGCGGGAUGCGCGCAAGCCCCAGCGGAGACCCUGCACAACGAAAAAUUCAUUUUCAAGCUGCCCACCAAGGAUUAAAAAGACCUUAGGCUCCGUGGCCAACCUGCAAACGGCCAUCGCAGACCGUGAAGGGCUUGGAGGAAAAAGCGAAGGGGUUCACGGUGCUGGGGUACAGCCCGGGCGAGAAGCCACCGCGCGGGGGGUGUGCACACAGAGGAGGCCCAGAAUGCUGAAACUCACACGUAACGUGCCUUGCCUCGUAGGUAACAGCAGGCCUUCUAGAACAGCCUAGCCCAAACAGGACUGUGCACUCCUUCACCGGGGAACAGAGGCUUCCCAGGGGUGAGGGCGGCGCGCGGGGGCGCGGGCGCGCUCCGCACGCACCCGAGGCCGGUGCGCGCCUCCCUCCGCGGCCACUUUGGAGCCCAGCACAUUACUCCAGCUCUGACAACCUGCUAACUGAUCGUUUGAAAGGAUUACAAGGGCACGCGGUUGCAACCGAGGUGAACACCACUCGGAAGAAAAUACAAGUCCUGUCACCUGACUGGCUUCAUGUUGGAAGUCAGCGCGCAGAAGAAGCCUCAUCCAUGAAAGUGCUAGGGACUCGGUGCCCUCACUGUACCAGUUGAAGACAGAGACAUUGGCCUUCCCAACAGAAUGAUUCAUCGUCGGGGAAAGGGGGUCCCGUUUCCCCAGGAGAAAGAGGGCGCAGGGGUAAGAAAUGCCUGGAUGACAUCACAGCAGCCAGGCCCUACCCAUUCCCCGUGUGCCUACGCAGCCUUCCCUAGAAAGAGCGCUUCAGGACCGGCAGAAACAGUCAUGAGGAGAUGCAAAGCAAACGCACAGAACAAGAAUUAGCUCAGAGACGGAGUUCAAACGCAGAAGAGCUACGGUCCAGAGGGGGCAGGACAGAGAAGGGAUGGAGAGCAUUACCACGUACUGUGAGGACAGGAAUUGGGCUCCUCUGACUCCCUCCCUACUGAACUGUGGUCAUCCUAUGGGCUUUGUAACAGCCUUAAGGAAGAAUGUUCUCUUUCUUCUGGUUGGACAUAAAGGGUAUUUCUACUGAAAGCUGGAGCAUGAAGGGUCUGUCUAGGUGACUGGAUUUUCCUGGAGGACACUGGGAUCUGGGAAACGUCUAAGACUCAUCUGGAACUGGUGUAUCUGGGGUGAGAUAAGGAGCAUGUGAGGUGGAGAAACAGAUUUUUUUGAGAAGGGAUUGCUUGAACCAAAUCUUCGAAGAUGGCUAGAUGCUCACCAAGUUGGCAGGCUGGGGGUACAGGAUAUGGGACCGGCGAAGGCAUAUCAUAGAUGAGAUAUAGAAGAUAUAAGGUUUUUUACAUUUUUUAAGAGAAGCCAGAGUGAUAGAUUUUUAUGCAAGCUCUUUUGAUUUUUCAUUGGCAUCCACUAAUUCAAAUUUCUAGAACAUUCUAUGUUCUAUACCAGCUAUGUUGGCAGAUGAAACAUAUCUGCAGGCUUUUGGAUCUGACCUCUGGACUAGGCAUCAUGCCAAGUUACUGAGGCACCGAAGGCUUGGACUCAUUCAUUUUAGUGCCCUCAGCUGGGGAUGGUCUUUAGUAGGCAUCUACAAAUGUCACUAAUUGGAAUCAAAGGCAGUUGUGUGCUGGGAAUCAAUGGCUCCUUGUACAUUCGUUUCCAGAAAUUCUUCUGGUGCUGGAAUGUGCCACUGCCAGCCACCAUUUGCUUUUUGUGCUGGAACUAACUGGAAAGCCCAAAGGAGGAAAAGGAAAGAGCAGAGCUCGAUUCUGCCCUCUCAGGUCAAAGCCUGGGGUGUCCCAGAUUCCUAAACUCCAUUGAUUCUCCGUGACAGCUCCUUCCCCUCGCCCCCAAACCUACUUCAUUUGGUAGUAACCAUUGCCUACCAAGAAGCAUCUUCUCAGAGACAGAACAAAACAAGAUAUGUUUCAAUGCCCUCCUUUUGGGAUGUGGGACAGUCACUAGAAUUUAUUGAGCACAGAGAAGUGGAGGCCCCUGGAGCCUUCAGCCCUGAAACUUGUGUAGGGAUAAAAGGUGGAGAAAACAGGGCCAAAGGCCUGUGAGACCCUAAGGCCCUAAGCACCGGAUGGGACAGGACCUCCCUGUGUGAGUCCCAAAUGUAGAACCAGUUUUCUGGGGGAACUUCUGCCACCUAUUGUCCAUGAAGGGAGAGACACCAUUCUGAGUUCUAAGGGCCGAAGACUCAGCCUAUCUUUCUCCAUAUGGUACCUAAACUCUGACCACAGGCUAGGAGAGCUGGGCCUUCCUGCUCUGAGGUUCCAGUUCCCCGCCUCCUCGCCUCCUGCACUCUACUCUGAGGGAAGGGGCAGGUGUUGUCUACUUCUGAAUCCUGGACGCCCAGGAGGGCACCUGGCCUUCAGAAAGACAACGAGAACGGGUUACUGUUAAGUGCUAAGUGGUUAAUGAUUCAAGAAGUUAGUUUCUGUAAACUGUUCAGUGUCUGGCACAUAGCAAGAGCUCAGUGAAUCGACGCUAUUCAGCUUUUUAAACAGGUCCAGUUGAGGUACAACUGAUGAAGGUUAGGCUGCACACAUUUAAAGCGUACAUUUUGAUGAGUUUUGACAUAUGUGCAUGGCUGUGAAACCCUCACCACAAUCAAAAUAAUAAAUACAUUCCCUCUAAAAGUUUGCUUGUGCCCUUUUGGAAUCCAACCUCUUCUCUUCUCCAAAAGAUACUCCCCAGUCAAGCAACCAGUAAUAGUCUUUCUGUCACUGUGGAUUAAUUCACAUUUUCUAGAAUUUUCUACAAAGGAAAUCAUACAGUGUGUACU
This is a long non-coding RNA of Acinonyx jubatus (cheetah), 3131 nucleotides long. RefSeq lists it as uncharacterized. Lineage: Eukaryota; Metazoa; Chordata; Mammalia; Carnivora; Felidae. The transcript has 3 exons. The record is from RefSeq and is a predicted model, not a curated record.